GCCUGCAACCCAGGCAUGUACCCUGACUGGGAAUCGAACCUGUGACACUUCGGUUUGCAGCCCGAGCUCAAUCCACUGAGCUACGCCAGCCAGGGAGAUGAUAAUUUUUUAAGUGAAGCUCCCAGGAUGAAUGGGAUGGUUCUGGAGUUGGUCCCCGUUGGGACCACACGCCCAUGAGCGCUGGGAGGCCCGGAGACCACGUGACUGCAUCGUCCCCGGCGACUGGUCGGGCUCGGGAGAGAACAGUUCCUCAGGCAGAGAAGUGAUUCAGCGGAUACAGAAAUAGUUUCUAAAUUCCAAAGGGGACUUGGAUGACGACGCAUUCUGAUGAGUACUUAGUUAAAUUUGGCUAAAUUUGGCAUCCUCUCCUCUGUACCUCUCCCCGAUCCGGGAUGUUACUUCCCUGCGGCUCUGGCGAUGGGUUUCCCUCUUGGGGACGUGACCUUCGUGGAGACAGCUGGCGUGGAGACAGACGGUCACGAUGCUUCCCUGCAGACAGUCCGAAUGCCACGGGCACACGCAGAACACGGGGCAUGUUCGCUGCUUCUCGUCUUCCGCCCACACUCGUCCUGGGGUUUGCUGUGAAUGGAAGAGCUGUUUAACUUGGAAACGCAUCGACUUGUGUUUCGGGGAUUUAAAAGGUCACACAAAAAUCCUUCCCCGGUCGGUGCUGGGGAAGAGACAUAACCCGGCAGAACCAGAGGUCGCUUUCCAAGCUGUGACGAUGGAAAUGUGGUCUGCAGUUAACAGGGACUCGGCACGGAGGGGGCGAGCGUGGGCUAAGGUCAGGCUUCGGGGCCCGAGAUCCAUGGGCGCUUCGGCCCCGGAUCACUGCUGUGUGCGCAUGCGUCGACAACCCGGCCGCUGCGGUGUUUCGCGCGGCUCAUCUGCAGAGCCAGGGACCCGCGGGGAGGGGUCAUGGAGGUCCCUUUGCCGUCAGAUUGUCUUCCAGGAGGAAGACACUGUCCCCUCUCCUCAUCUCCUCUCCCCAGGGCUGGCCGAACACGAGCAGCCAGUCCGGACCCUCCUCCGCUACAGCAGCUGACGGCACAGACUCUAUCAUUUGGGAGGCCAGGGGCGGGUGGGGGUGGGGGGAGACCGGGGAGACAGGGCCCCGCGACUGGGAGACAAUUUAAAAUAAGCAAUCACGGGCUGAAGGAGAGUAUGUUGGCUGUAAAAUGAGCACGGGAAUAAAAGAGAUGGAUGGGAGGUCAAUUCUCCGGUCUCUCUUCUAGGU
Phyllostomus hastatus (greater spear-nosed bat) is the source of this 1237-nucleotide long non-coding RNA. RefSeq lists it as uncharacterized. The record is from RefSeq and is a predicted model, not a curated record. The transcript has 2 exons. Lineage: Eukaryota; Metazoa; Chordata; Mammalia; Chiroptera; Phyllostomidae.